Molecule: long non-coding RNA, 1814 nt
Organism: Acinonyx jubatus (cheetah)
Lineage: Eukaryota; Metazoa; Chordata; Mammalia; Carnivora; Felidae
Exons: 3
Source: RefSeq, a predicted model, not a curated record
UCUCUUUUCAACUCUGGCAUGACCUCAUGGGAGUCAGGACGGCAGUUAUUACCUUAGGUCAGCACCACGGUCUGGCCAGGUGGGCCACCUCCUUCCGGCAGAGAUCCAGCCUGCAGACCAUCUCAGCCCCCAGGGAGCACACUGAGACCCACGGCUUUAGAAUUUGGGCCAGAAAGAGGACGCUGGAGGGAGAGCUUCACAGACAGCCGGCAAAGCACUAGGGAGAAGGCAUCAAUCUCUCAUAAAAUGGAAGCCUGCCCGCUUCCGAUCUCCAAUCAAACCGAGGAGACAGAAGAGGCAGCUGUCGCCAAGCUGCUGCAGCUCCGGAAUCAUUGUUGAGUAAUUGCCCGGUACUUCAAGUCCGGGAUGGGGGCUCUUUAGGCAAUAUUUCAUGGGAGAGAUCUCGAGCCCUCAUCAGGACAAGAAAUAUGGUUGUUAAACAGGCGGCUAAUGGUAUCCCAUUCAUCUGGUAACAAAUCUGUGAGCUUCAUUAAGCUGACCCGCCCGGCCUCAGAAGAGGGACGCAGAAUUAGCCAGAAGGAAGAGGUUGUGAAGAGGAAUCCCCAGCGAGCGCAUCUGCCCAGCACCCCCCAAAGAUCACCAAAUCCCAUUGUUCAAUUCCCACCCGGGGCCGCCACUCCUCCCACCCCCAAACCCAGAAAGCUGCUCUGCAAAAAAGCUGCACAAUCAACGUGACCUCUGGGUAAUCAAAAAAUCAAGAACAAACUUGCCUCAUCAGGAAGAAGCUGGGCACCUACCUGCCCUGGGAAAUCUAUAUGUAAAUUCAGGCAGAUCUGCGGUCUUCCUGGUACAUCAGGCUUGGUCUCCAGCCAGGUCCCAAGCUGAGGUAAGACAAAGCCGGCAGCAGAUUGUGGUGCAGACCAGGAACUGUCAGGAUGUGGGGUCUCGGUUUGGGCGGGGCAGGGGAGGAAGGUCAAAGUUUCUUCCCAAAGCCGCGUCGAAUGGUCUCUGCUUUGUCCCGGAGAGCCCCAAUCUGCUGCUCACUUUUUGAUCCUUAAAACUGUAAUGGACACUUGAAAAAAAAGAAAAGAAAAGAACACGCAUGGAAGAAAAUCAGAUCGGGGGCACCUGAGCGGCUCAGACAGUCAAGCAUCCGACUCUUGAUUUCGGCUCAGGCCGUGAUCUCACAGUUCAUGGAAUCGAGCCCCAAGACAGGCUCCGUGCUGAUGGUACAGAGCCUGCGUGGGAUUCUCUCUCUCCCUCUCUCUCUGCCCCUCCUCCACUCUCUCUCUGUCUCUCACUCUCAAAAAUAAACAUUUAAAAGACAAGAAAAGAAAAAUCUUUUCAGAUAACGCAAAGCAACUAUUUCCACAGCUGGGGCAAUUCCUCCGCCGUGCAUUUUGGUCGUGCGUCACUAUUUAAGUCACUGGGUCACUGGCCACUCCCAGUGCCCCUGUGCUUGGAGGCAUGUGGCCUGCCUCCGUCCUUGAUGUCGUUUUACAUUCAGCACGACUCAGCAAGGCCGUGCGACCCUCCCCUCUCAGUGGUUCGCUGUGAACAAGGUUUGUUUUUAGCUCGUGCUGAAAGCCCGUCACAGAUCGGCUACAGCCGGGCCCCAGGAGACGGUGGAGGCAGAGACUGGAGGCAGGGGACGCCAGGAGCUGGAAGAGGUCUUCCCUAGAGCCCUCAGAGGGGGCACAGCCCUGUGACACCCUGAUUUCUGACUUCUGGUCUCCAGAACUGACCCAGGCUGAGGGAGCAGCCUCUCCCCAGACCACUGGGGUUUUCAUCAAAGGGAAAGAAAACAAGGCACCAAGUAUGAGCUGGUUCUCAGAGUUGCACACAAAAGCGAC